UCUAAGUAUAAACGAUUUAAUCGUGAAACCGCGAAUGGCUCAUUAUAACAGCUAUAAUUUACUUGAUCUUGACACAAUCCUACUUGGAUAACUGUGGUAAUUCUAGAGCUAAUACAUGCAUUAAAGCUCUGACCUCACGGGAAGAGUGCAUUUAUUAGAACAAAACCAAGCGGCUUCGGCUGUUUCUGGUUGACUCAUAGUAACUGAGCUGAUCGCAUGGUCUUGCACCGGCGACGUGUCUUUCAAGUAUCUGCCGUAUCAACUUUCGAUGGUAGUGUAUCUGACUACCAUGGUGAUCACGCGUAACGGAGAAUAAGGGUUCGGCUCCGGAGAGUUCGCCUGAGAAAUCGCGAACACAUCUAAGGAAGGCAGCAGGCGCGAAAAUUACCCACUCUCAGCACGAGGAGGUAGUGACGAAAAAUAACGAGACCGUUCUCUUAUGAGGCCGGUCAUCGGAAUGGGUACAAU
RNAcentral lists this ribosomal RNA (468 nucleotides) under unidentified nematode Sourhope farm. RNAcentral's name for it is "SSU rRNA". It matches the Rfam family "Eukaryotic small subunit ribosomal RNA", at positions 58 to 524 of the family's 1831-position model. Lineage: Eukaryota; Metazoa; Nematoda. The record is from RNAcentral.